UACGUAGGUGGCAAGCGUUGUCCGGAUUUACUGGGCGUAAAGAGCGCGCAGGCGGUCGUUCAAGUCGAGUGUGAAAGCCCCCGGCUCAACUGGGGAGGGUCAUUCGAUACUGAUCGACUCGAAGGCAGGAGAGGGAAGUGGAAUUCCCGGUGUAGUGGUGAAAUGCGUAGAUAUUCGGAAGAACACCAGUGGCGAAGGCGGCUCACUGGCCCGGUACUGACGCUGAGGUGCGAAAGCGUGGGGAGCAAACAGG
Molecule: ribosomal RNA, 253 nt
Filed under: uncultured bacterium
Lineage: Bacteria
Description: partial 16S ribosomal RNA
Rfam family: Bacterial small subunit ribosomal RNA
Source: RNAcentral